UUUAUUGGAAAAAGGAAAAAAGGGACCUUUUUUUGGCUGGCUUAGCUCAUUGCACGGCCACUUUCGGCGUCCCCCCCUCCCGUUUGCGUGGCCGCCGCUCCGCGGAGGAGGGACCCGAGUGGGGCCAAAUCCGGCUCUUUUCCUCCCGGCAGGGAAUGGAGCCGCUUGUCCCGGGAGUCCCGAGACGCAGGUAAAACCGGCGCUCGCGUCCCCAUCCCACCGGCCACGCGCCCGCGGCCUCCGCGUCCCACCUGCCGCGGCUCCUUCCCGCGUGCCGCAGGCGUCCCCGGCUUGCGACAGCGAGGAGGAGGAGGAGGAGGAAGAGAAAGAGGAGGAGGAGGAGGAAGGCUGCGGGGCGGAGGAGUGGCACUGCCGCUGCGAGGCCGAGCGGGCCAAAGCCCUGCAGCUGGAGCGGCAGCUGGCGACGAAGACGCGGGAGUGCGAGCGGCUCUCGGCCGGCAUCCGGGAGCAGGCGCGGGAGCUGGAGCAGCUGCUGCCCGGCGCCGGGAGCACGGAGCCAAGCGCGGAGCCGAGCCGGGAUGUGCCAGAGGGCGAGUGUUGCCUGAGCCUCCUGGCUGAGCAUGUGCGGGAGCUGAGGAGGAGGAAGGAGGAGGAGGAAGAGCGCGGCAGGCCGCGGGAGCUCGAGGGCCCGCCGGAAAACGCGCCGGGAGCGCUCGCUGCCUCCGAGCGGGAGCUGCGGGCGCUGCUGGCGCCGUUCCUCGCCUGGCUGUGGGACGCCUGCACCGGGCUGCGGGAGGAGAAGCUCGGCGCCUUCGCCCGGAGCGCGGCGCUGAGGAAGGAGGUGGAGGAAGCCCUGCGGAGCAAGCUGCACUACGAGGUGGUGCCGGCCGACGCCGUCCGGAAGAGCCUGGCGGCCUGGGAGAAGCUGGUGCUGGGGCUGGAGCGGGCGCUGAGCCGCGCCGACGAGAGCGGCGCCGAGCUGCUGCGGAGAUCCCGGCCGCUCCUGGAGAUCCUCGGGGCGCCGCGGAGCCAGCAGGCACCGGAGCAGCCGCUUCCCGCACCGGAGCCUUCCCAAGGGAACGGCACGAAUCCGGGCCGGAGCGGAGCAGGCGCACCGGAGAGCGAUGCCGAAGAGCGGAGCGGCGAGCUGGAGAAGGAGGUGCUGGAGCUCAAGGAGAGCAACGGGAAGCUCCUGGGCGAGCUGGCCCGGCUGGGCCGGGAGCGCGAGCGGCUGCAGGAAGAGCUGCGCGGGCUGCGGGAGAGGGAUGCUGGCACCGUGGCCGCCGAGGCGCCGGGGCGGCUGAGACGGCGGCUGGCGGAGCAGCGGCGGGAGCUGGCGGCGUUGCGGGACGACCUGAGCGCCCGGGCGCGGGAAGAAGCUGGAAGCCAGCGCUCCGGCGCCUGCAUCCUCCAGGAGCUGCAUCGCAAGCUGGACGGGCUGGUGAGGAAGCAGCACGAGGCCUUGCAACUCGU
This 1434-nucleotide long non-coding RNA is filed under the name Apteryx haastii (Great spotted kiwi). RNAcentral's name for it is "lncRNA (ENSAHAG00000006138.1)". The record is from RNAcentral. Lineage: Eukaryota; Metazoa; Chordata; Aves; Apterygiformes; Apterygidae.